Molecule: ribosomal RNA, 945 nt
Filed under: uncultured bacterium
Lineage: Bacteria
Description: bacterial SSU rRNA
Rfam family: Bacterial small subunit ribosomal RNA
Source: RNAcentral
UNCGUGCCAGCAGCCGCGGUAAUACGUAGGUCCCGAGCGUUNUCCGGAUUUAUUGGGCGUAAAGGGAGCGCAGGCGGUCAGGAAAGUCUGGAGUAAAAGGCUAUGGNUCAACCAUAGUGUGCUCUGGAAACUNUCUGACUUGAGUGCAGAAGGGGAGAGUGGAAUUCCAUGUGUAGCGGUGAAAUGCGUAGAUAUAUGGAGGAACACCAGUGGCGAAAGCGGCUCUCUGGUCUGUCACUGACGCUGAGGCUCGAAAGCGUGGGUAGCGAACAGGAUUAGAUACCCUGGUAGUCCACGCCGUAAACGAUGAGUGCUAGGUGUUAGGCCCUUUCCGGGGCUUAGUGCCGGAGCUAACGCAAUAAGCACUCCGCCUGGGGAGUACGACCGCAAGGUUGAAACUCAAAGGAAUUGACGGGGGCCCGCACAAGCGGUGGAGCAUGUGGUUUAAUUCGAAGCAACGCGAAGAACCUUACCAGGUCUUGACAUCCCGAUGCUAUUCUUAGAGAUAGGAAGUUACUUCGGUACAUCGGAGACAGGUGGUGCAUGGUUGUCGUCAGCUCGUGUCGUGAGAUGUUGGGUUAAGUCCCGCAACGAGCGCAACCCUUAUUGUUAGUUGCCAUCAUUAAGUUGGGCACUCUAGCGAGACUGCCGGUAAUAAACCGGAGGAAGGUGGGGAUGACGUCAAAUCAUCAUGCCCCUUAUGACCUGGGCUACACACGUGCUACAAUGGUCGGUACAACGAGUUGCGCGCCGGUGACGGCAAGCUAAUCUCUGAAAGCCGAUCUCAGUUCGGAUUGGAGGCUGCAACUCGCCUCCAUGAAGUCGGAAUCGCUAGUAAUCGCGGAUCAGCACGCCGCGGUGAAUACGUUCCCGGGCCUUGUACACACCGCCCGUCACACCACGAGAGUUUGUAACACCCGAAGUCGGUGAGGUANCCUUUUAGGG